This 200-nucleotide ribosomal RNA is filed under the name uncultured bacterium. Its description in RNAcentral is "partial 16S ribosomal RNA". It matches the Rfam family "Bacterial small subunit ribosomal RNA", at positions 8 to 197 of the family's 1533-position model. The record is from RNAcentral.
AGAGUUUGAUCAUGGCUCAGGACGAACGCUGGCGGCGUGCUUAACACAUGCAAGUCGAACGGGGUCCAUCCGGUGGCAACACCGGAGAAGACCCAGUGGCGAACGGGUGAGUAACACGUGAGGAACCUGCCCCGAAGACCGGGAUAACAGCGGGAAACCGCUGCUAAUACCGGAUACCCCCCAUCGGACCCCAUGGCCUG